CCUACGGGUGGCUGCAGUGAGGAAUCUUGGUCAAUGGACGAGAGUCUGAACCAGCCAAGUAGCGUGAAGGAUGACUGCCCUAUGGGUUGUACACUUCUUUUAUAUGGGAAUAAAACGUUCCACGUGUGGGCUUUUGUAUGUACCAUAUGAAUAAGGAUCGGCUAACUCCGUACCAGCAGCCGCGGUAAUACGGAGGAUCCGAGCGUUAUCCGGAUUUAUUGGGUUUAAAGGGAGCGUAGGUGGAUUGUUAAGUCAGUUGUGAAAGUUUGCGGCUCAACCGUAAAAUUGCAGUUGAAACUGGCAGUCUUGAGUACAGUAGAGGUAGGCGGAAUUCGUGGUGUAGCGGUGAAAUGCUUAGAUAUCACGAAGAACUCCGAUUGCGAAGGCAGCUUACUAAACUGCCACUGACAUUGAUGCUCGAAAGUGUGGGUAUCAAACAGGAUUAGAUACCCGGGUAGUC
RNAcentral lists this ribosomal RNA (460 nucleotides) under uncultured bacterium. Its description in RNAcentral is "partial 16S ribosomal RNA". It matches the Rfam family "Bacterial small subunit ribosomal RNA", at positions 338 to 795 of the family's 1533-position model. The record is from RNAcentral.